Daucus carota subsp. sativus is the source of this 2522-nucleotide long non-coding RNA. RefSeq lists it as uncharacterized. The record is from RefSeq and is a predicted model, not a curated record. The transcript is spliced from 3 exons. Lineage: Eukaryota; Viridiplantae; Streptophyta; Magnoliopsida; Apiales; Apiaceae.
GUUACGUAAUAUAGGAAAGUGUUACAAAUAAAAGUGCCAAAAUCAAAUUUUAGAUCAAAUGUAAUACUUUAAAAGUGUUACAAUACAUUGCAACGGAUUUGGCUGAAAUUUGGGCGGGAUUUCAAUUUUUAUACUUGGCGGGCUUCCAAACAUUAGGGCAAAAACUUUCGGUAUCAACACUUUUUUUACAUAAAAAAAAAAUUUAAUACAAAAAACAAACAUCUCCACUGCUCUCUCCGCUCACUCCACUCCCCUGUUCCUCACACCCCUCUCUCCGCUCCCCUCUUCCUUACUACCCUCUCUCGCUCAUCUCUCUCCCUCAUCUCUCUCACACCUACUACUCUUCUUCCUCGCUCAUCUCUCUUGCACCGAUCUGAAAGUCCUAAAAUCGAUUGGGGCAAUAAUCUGGGGAAAACCCUAAAAUUGAUUGGAGUUUUAAUUGAUUGUGUCAGAGCUUCUAUUAGAGGUUGUGAAGGAGGAUAUAUAUCAGAUUAUUAAAGCAGAAAAAUGGAGUUGCUCGUAGGAUAUUUUCCUCAGGCGUUGGGUGUUCAUACACCGAUAAUAAGUUAAGCUCUGUCCAUACACUAACAAUAAGUUCAUCUGUGCUUUUAUUCAUUAGAAUUGUCGUCAUAAUAUUUAGUUUCUAUUCAUAUAUCGCCGUGCAUAUGCUAUUCUAUUAUGUUUGUUUUUAUUUUUGGACAUGCUACAAGAUCAACUAUGUAUUCAUAUAUGUCAAGUUUGGGUAAAAUCUAGCUAGGCAGUAAAAACCACCAGAUGACUAAUAGAAUUUUAUUAUUUAUUUUUUAGUAAGAGGACAGUUCCACAAUCAUAGUUUCGAUUAAACUAGUCGGUGUGCAGUCCUAAGGAAGUUGCAAGACUAUCGAUCCCACCUCCAACAUCACAAUGUAUUCAGUGUUUUCAUUUUAUCAGUGUUUGCUAGGAAUUUUUGAUUUAUACUAGUAUUGGCUAUGUUAUUGAUAGAGCAAGCAAUCAAGAAGAAGUAUAAGAAACUUGUUUGUGUGUGCCACAUUGUCCGUCUGUGUUUUGAACACUUGAACAGACUAUGCAGUUUUGUAUAUACUAAGAAAAGGUUAAGAUAUUAUAUAGGAGCUAAGAUAUGGUCCCUGUUAGAAAUUCAAUAUGUCAUUUAAUUAUCCUCAGGAUAUUAGGUGUUUAUUUGUCUUGUUUUAUCUAUUUUUAACAUGUAUAUGAACUGACACUUAUAUUUUAUAACCAAUAUCUUAAGCUUGUUUAACACAUUGAAGUGGCAAAAUAUGAAUCUAGAAUAAGGUUUUAGGUUGAUUAAUGAUAUGUGGUUAUUCUGAUUUUUCUCAAGUCUUUUCGCGUUCUGAUAAAUAUUAAAGAUCUUCGUGAUCAAGUUCGAUCUCUUUCAGAGUACAGAGCUCAACUGUACCAUUAUCUGAAGAGUAGAAUGAACAAUAUAGCUCCAAGUCUAACUUCUCUUGUUGGGGAACUUGUUGGUGCUCAAUCUAGAAAGCAAAGAACUAGGCCAUGCUUCUCAUACAGCUAAAGGCAAACCCAAGAUUGUGUUCUAUGAUAUACGGUCCGCGAGAAGGGAGUAAGUGCUUUGAUAACUCCUGUAUUAUUAUACUAGAGCUUAUAUUAAAGUACUUUGUUCCUUCACAUACAAAGUUCUGUUUUAAUUUUAUUAUAUUUUUGCAAGGUACAUUGUCGACUUAAAAAUGUAAGAAAUGACAUUGGCUGCUCUAGCGAGAUCAUUAUGUGUGGCUCUCCAUAAAAAAUAUUCAACGGUUAUAUUUUUAUAUAUUCAGCGGUUAUGUAUUUUAAGAACUUCUACUAACUUUAACAAUUGAAAGCAGGGUCUCAAGAAAAUGGGAAAUGGCUACAUGAGGUUUGGCAUGCCUUUUUAUUUUGCCAAUGGACUUGGAGGCAGCUGUUAAAAACAAAUUAGUUGGAUUCUCUGUGAUUUUGUUUCUUUGCUGCCUCCAUUCCUGCCUCGCUUGUGCUGCAAACUCCAUAUCUGGUUUGAGCACUUCCUAAUGGCCUUUAACUUUUUCCUAUUAAAUUUUAUUUCAUAUUUUCCAGUUUAUAUGUGCUGUUGUAGUUAUGCUUCACGUGCUUCUUCCUUCGGAUGCUUUACUAAGAAUAUGAAUCAAAUUGGAAUGCAGAAUCAUCCAUGGAAGGACAAACUAGGGUGUGUUAAACAAUUGCAAAGUCAAGAUAGUCCUGCUGGAGUUAAAGCUAGUAGAUGAUAGAGUAUGAUCCUGAUGGCUUUGUCACCCAAGAAGAAUCAUGUUUUGUUGCAUAGCUCAUUGAUGUGUACUUAAAUUAUGGAUAAGUGAGAAGGGCAAGCUUAUAGCGUUUAAACCAACUCCCGUAGAACCAUCAAAGGCCGAAGAACGUGCACAAGCCAUUAUGGAUAAUGUAUAGGAAAUUAUUAUAACUAGGAUUGGCUGUGUAAAAUACUAACAUGAUUUCUUUUUAUUUUUCAUUUUUUUUGUUUUUUGAUUUUAGUGAACUGUAAUAAAGAAAAUUUUAAA